RNAcentral lists this ribosomal RNA (496 nucleotides) under uncultured bacterium. RNAcentral's name for it is "partial 16S ribosomal RNA". It matches the Rfam family "Bacterial small subunit ribosomal RNA", at positions 28 to 507 of the family's 1533-position model. The record is from RNAcentral.
GAUGAACGCUGGCGGCGUGCCUAAUACAUGCAAGUCGAGCGAACAGACGAGGAGCUUGCUCCUCUGACGUUAGCGGCGGACGGGUGAGUAACACGUGGAUAACCUACCUAUAAGACUGGGAUAACUUCGGGAAACCGGAGCUAAUACCGGAUAUAUAUUGAACCGCAUGGUUCAAUAGUGAAAGACGGUUUUGCUGUCACUUAUAGAUGGAUCCGCGCCGCAUUAGCUAGUUGGUAAGGUAACGGCUUACCAAGGCAACGAUGCGUAGCCGACCUGAGAGGGUGAUCGGCCACACUGGAACUGAGACACGGUCCAGACUCCUACGGGAGGCAGCAGUAGGGAAUCUUCCGCAAUGGGCGAAAGCCUGUCGGAGCAACGCCGCGUGAGUGAUGAAGGUCUUCGGAUCGUAAAACUCUGUUAUUAGGGAAGAACAAAUGUGUAAGUAACUAUGCACGUCUUGACGGUACCUAAUCAGAAAGCCACGGCUAACUACGUG